This 804-nucleotide ribosomal RNA is filed under the name Triticum aestivum (bread wheat). Its description in RNAcentral is "partial small subunit ribosomal RNA". Lineage: Eukaryota; Viridiplantae; Streptophyta; Magnoliopsida; Poales; Poaceae. The record is from RNAcentral.
AUGAGUGAUGUGUUAUCUCAUGAUAAGCUAGUUUGCAUGGUGAUCACCAUCUGGGCGAUAUGGAGAGUGAGGAGAAAGGAUGUAUAUGAGGAUAUCCAUCAAAGCCCGUUGUCAACACAUCUUUUCAUCCAGUCAUAUUGGAAUGAUCUCCAAGUUUUAAAGAAAUCGAUUGCACCCAUGUCGCAAAACAAAGUGGUGAGACCAACCCACUCGCUAGAACCGCCGGAGAAAAUGGUGAAGGCUAAUGUGGAUGUUGCCAUAGCUGGGAGUUCGGGUAUAGGGGCAGUUGCGGAAGUGUGCAGAGACAGGGAGGGAAUGUACCUGGGUUCAUCGGUCGUUGUCUUUAGGGGCAUCAGCGACCCUACCACAUUGGAGGCACUAGCAGUAAGGGAAUCAAUGGCUCUCGCAAAUGAUCUUAAUUUACAGUCUAUCCAUGUUGCAUCAGAUUGUAAGGUGGUGAUCGAGGAUAUUAAGAAGAAGAGUGGGGCGGGCUACGGUGCUAUUAUACAUGAAAUCGUAGAUGGAGCCCAAGUAGGUCAAAAAAAUAGUGGAGCACAAGAGCCCGUGACGCGAAGCCCCCAAUCCCACACGACAUAUGGGUACACAAACUACAACGCUUUCCGUGGACCCAGAGUGACCCUUGACCAAUGGGUAGCAGCUACCACUACACAUGACGCACGUUGUUGUCAAGCAUGGACCCACCCGUCAUCCAUAGGAUGUGUCAAGGCCACAGAAAAUAAAAAAUCCAACACUCCAUCGUUCACUCCCGUCUACUCGUCGUCUUCCUCGGCGCGGGCGCUCUAG